UAACCUACCCAGUGAUGGAUAGCUGAACUGUUAGAAGUCAGCAGAGGUCAUAGUACUGUGAGAUACGCGUUAUCACGGGAAGGAC
Molecule: non-coding RNA, 85 nt
Filed under: Fonticella tunisiensis
Lineage: Bacteria; Bacillati; Bacillota; Clostridia; Eubacteriales; Clostridiaceae
Source: RNAcentral